Molecule: ribosomal RNA, 372 nt
Filed under: uncultured bacterium
Lineage: Bacteria
Description: bacterial SSU rRNA
Rfam family: Bacterial small subunit ribosomal RNA
Source: RNAcentral
GUAGGGCGCAAGCAUUGUCCGGAUUUAUUGGGCGUAAAGAGCUCGUAGGCGGCCUGUCGCGUCGACUGUGAAAACUCACGGCUUAACCGUGGGACUGCAGUCGAUACGGGCAGGCUAGAGUUCGGUAGGGGAGACUGGAAUUCCUGGUGUAGCGGUGAAAUGCGCAGAUAUCAGGAGGAACACCGGAGGCGAAAGCGGGUCUCUGGGCCGAUACUGACGCUGAGGAGCGAAAGCGUGGGGAGCGAACAGGAUUAGAUACCCUGGUAGUCCACGCCGUAAACGUUGGGCGCUAGGUGUGGGGGGCCUCUCCGGUCCUCUGUGCCGCAGCUAACGCAUUAAGCGCCCCGCCUGGGGAGUACGGCCGCAAGGCUA